Molecule: ribosomal RNA, 362 nt
Filed under: Lethrinus harak (thumbprint emperor)
Lineage: Eukaryota; Metazoa; Chordata; Actinopteri; Spariformes; Lethrinidae
Description: partial small subunit ribosomal RNA
Rfam family: Bacterial small subunit ribosomal RNA
Source: RNAcentral
AGAUACCCCACUAUGCCUAGCCAUAAACAUUGACAGUACUUUACACCCACUGUUCGCCUGGGGACUACGAGCGCAAGCUUAAAACCCAAAGGACUUGGCGGUGCUUUAGACCCCCCUAGAGGAGCCUGUUCUAGAACCGAUAACCCCCGUUCAACCUCACCCUUUCUUGUCCAUCCCGCCUAUAUACCACCGUCGUCAGCUUACCCUCUGAAGGUUCAAUAGUAAGCACAAUUGGCACAGCCCAAGACGUCAGGUCGAGGUGUAGCGUAUGAAAGGGGAAGAAAUGGGCUACAUUCACCCUUUACGGUGUACUACGAAAGAUGCAAUUGAAACAUUCAUCAGAAGGAGGAUUUAGCAGUAAG